AACGAACGCUGGCGGCAUGCCUAACACAUGCAAGUCGAACGAGACCUUCGGGUCUAGUGGCGCACGGGUGCGUAACACGUGGGAAUUUGCCUCGGGGUAUGGAAUAACUCAGGGAAACUUGAGCUAAUACCAUAUAAUGUCUUCGGACCAAAGAUUUAUCGCCCUGAGAUAAGCCCGCGUAGGAUUAGCUAGUUGGUGGGGUAAAGGCUCACCAAGGCGACGAUCCUUAGCUGGUCUGAGAGGAUGAUCAGCCACACUGGGACUGAGACACGGCCCAGACUCCUACGGGAGGCAGUCAGUGGGGAAUAUUGGACAAUGGGCGAAAGCCUGAUCCAACAAUGCCGCGUGAGUGAUGAA
This 357-nucleotide ribosomal RNA is filed under the name uncultured bacterium. RNAcentral describes it as "bacterial SSU rRNA". It matches the Rfam family "Bacterial small subunit ribosomal RNA", at positions 29 to 412 of the family's 1533-position model. The record is from RNAcentral.